Molecule: ribosomal RNA, 256 nt
Filed under: uncultured bacterium
Lineage: Bacteria
Description: partial 16S ribosomal RNA
Rfam family: Bacterial small subunit ribosomal RNA
Source: RNAcentral
UACGGAGGGGGCUAGCGUUGUUCGGAAUUACUGGGCGUAAAGCGCACGUAGGCGGCUUUGUAAGUUAGAGGUGAAAGCCCGGGGCUCGAACUCCGGAAUUGGCCUUUAAGACUGCAUCGCUAGAAUUGUGGAGAGGUAAGUGGGAAUUCCGAGUGUAGAGGUGAAAUUCGUAGAUAUUCGGAAGAACACCAGUGGCGAAGGCGACUUACUGGACACAUAUUGACGCUGAGGUGCGAAAGCGUGGGGAGCAAACAGG